RNAcentral lists this ribosomal RNA (428 nucleotides) under Bacillota bacterium. RNAcentral's name for it is "Firmicutes bacterium partial 16S ribosomal RNA". It matches the Rfam family "Bacterial small subunit ribosomal RNA", at positions 355 to 776 of the family's 1533-position model. Lineage: Bacteria; Bacillati; Bacillota. The record is from RNAcentral.
UCGAGAAUUUUUCACAAUGGGCGAAAGCCUGAUGGAGCGACGCCGCGUGGGGGAUGAAUGGCUUCGGCCCGUAAACCCCUGUCAUUCGGGAUCAAUGCCUGCGGCCUAAUACGUUGCAGGUUGAUAGUACCGGAAGAGGAAGGGACGGCUAACUCUGUGCCAGCAGCCGCGGUAAUACAGAGGUCCCAAGCGUUGUUCGGAUUCACUGGGCGUAAAGGGUGCGUAGGUGGUCGGGUAAGUCUGAUGUGAAAUCUCGGAGCUUAACUCCGAAACGGCAUUGGAUACUAUUCGGCUUGAGGAUUGGAGGGGGGACUGGAAUUCUCGGUGUAGCAGUGAAAUGCGUAGAUAUCGAGAGGAACACCAGUGGCGAAGGCGAGUCCCUGGACAAUUCCUGACACUAAGGCACGAAAGCUAGGGGAGCAAACAGG